GCCUGGGUGGCUCAGUUGGUUAAGCGUCUGACUUCAGCUCAGGUCAUGAUCUCACGGUUUGUGAGUUCGAGCCCCACGUCGGGCU
Molecule: transfer RNA, 85 nt
Filed under: Felis catus (domestic cat)
Lineage: Eukaryota; Metazoa; Chordata; Mammalia; Carnivora; Felidae
Also listed under: 1 other name
Rfam family: tRNA
About the family: Transfer RNA (tRNA) molecules are approximately 80 nucleotides in length.
Source: Rfam by way of RNAcentral